This 449-nucleotide ribosomal RNA is filed under the name uncultured bacterium. RNAcentral describes it as "partial 16S ribosomal RNA". It matches the Rfam family "Bacterial small subunit ribosomal RNA", at positions 29 to 523 of the family's 1533-position model. The record is from RNAcentral.
AACGAACGCUGGCGGCAGGCCUAACACAUGCAAGUCGAACGCCCUAGCAAUAGGGAGUGGCAGACGGGUGAGUAACGCGUGGGAACGUGCCCUUCGGUUCGGAAUAACUCAGGGAAACUUGAGCUAAUACCGGAUACGUGCGAGAGCAGAAAGAUUUAUCGCCGAAGGAUCGGCCCGCGUCCGAUUAGCUAGUUGGUGAGGUAAUGGCUCACCAAGGCGACGAUCGGUAGCUGGUCUGAGAGGAUGAUCAGCCACACUGGGACUGAGACGCGGCCCAGACUCCUACGGGAGGCAGCAGUGGGGAAUAUUGGACAAUGGGCGCAAGCCUGAUCCAGCCAUGCCGCGUGAGUGAUGAAGGCCCUAGGGUUGUAAAGCUCUUUCGCCAGGGACGAUAAUGACGGUACCUGGAUAAGAAGCCCCGGCUAACUUCGUGCCAGCAGCCGCCGUAA